GACGAACGCUGGCGGCGUGCCUAAUACAUGCAAGUCGAGCGGACAGAUGGGAGCUUGCUCCCUGAUGUUAGCGGCGGACGGGUGAGUAACACGUGGGUAACCUGCCUGUAAGACUGGGAUAACUCCGGGAAACCGGGGCUAAUACCGGAUGGUUGUUUGAACCGCAUGGUUCAAACAUAAAAGGUGGCUUCGGCUACCACUUACAGAUGGACCCGCGGCGCAUUAGCUAGUUGGUGAGGUAACGGCUCACCAAGGCAACGAUGCGUAGCCGACCUGAGAGGGUGAUCGGCCACACUGGGACUGAGACACGGCCCAGACUCCUACGGGAGGCAGCAGUAGGGAAUCUUCCGCAAUGGACGAAAGUCUGACGGAGCAACGCCGCGUGAGUGAUGAAGGUUUUCGGAUCGUAAAGCUCUGUUGUUAGGGAAGAACAAGUACCGUUCG
Molecule: ribosomal RNA, 444 nt
Filed under: Bacillus subtilis
Lineage: Bacteria; Bacillati; Bacillota; Bacilli; Caryophanales; Bacillaceae
Description: bacterial SSU rRNA
Rfam family: Bacterial small subunit ribosomal RNA
Source: RNAcentral